GCGGACGUGGCGGAAUGGUAGACGCAGCAGACUUAAAAUCUGCUAUCCUUUCGGGUGUAUGGGUUCGAGUCCCAUCGUCCGCACCA
Molecule: transfer RNA, 86 nt
Filed under: Alphaproteobacteria bacterium HGW-Alphaproteobacteria-13
Lineage: Bacteria; Pseudomonadati; Pseudomonadota; Alphaproteobacteria
Description: tRNA-Leu
Rfam family: tRNA
About the family: Transfer RNA (tRNA) molecules are approximately 80 nucleotides in length.
Source: RNAcentral